Long non-coding RNA from Cyprinus carpio carpio, 1307 nucleotides. The record is from Ensembl. NCBI's taxonomy places the organism in Eukaryota, Metazoa, Chordata, Actinopteri, Cypriniformes, Cyprinidae.
UCUGAUAUAUCAUCAAUGCUGUAUUCUGAAUAAAAUAUUGAAAUUUGGAACUUCCACAUCAUUGCAUUCUGUUUUUAUUCACAAUUUGUACAGUGUCCCAACUUUUUUGGAAUCGAGUUUGUAAAUGCCACAUCAUUUUCAUACUUCUAGACCAAAUCAGGAGCAGCUAAGGAGUUGGAGCAGAUCAGGAAACUUGAGGAGGACAUAAAUGUCCAGAGAGAUGAUAACUCAACUCCUCCCACUUCUUCUCCUGCCUUUGUGCCACCCCCACCUCCACCUUCAGCUCCAGUCAAGCCCCCUCUAGUGCUGCCUGCUAGAGGAAACCCAGAGGCGGCCCGAGAGGUUUUUCUGGAGGCCAUUCGCUCAGGCUCUGGGGCUCAAUGCCUGAGGAAGCACAAACGGUCAAGAUCCUACUUUGCUCCUUGGCUGUGGAAUGAAUUUCAAAUUAAUGCUCAACUAGAAUGAAUUCCUUCUUUGAAUGUGUUUAAAAAUAUAUUGUGAUGUAAAAUGAAUGAAGUGUGUGGCUGUUUUAAUUAAUUUGGUGACAUAUGAUUAAUGUUAUUGUAUUUACCUUGUCUGUUUAGAAUUUGUUUUAUGUGUUUUGUAAUUAUGUGAAAUUUUAAUACGGCCAUCUUGGCCAGGACUCCCUGGAAGAAGAGAUUUCUUUUAAUCUCAAUGGGACCUUCCUGGAAAAAUAAAGGUUAAAUAAAAUAAAAAUAAAAGAUUCAAAAUUUUUAUUUGUCAAAUACAUGGUUAUAUAAAGAAUAUAUAACCAGCAGUGAAAUGUAAGUCACGUCUGUUCCAUGGACAAUUAUUAUUAUUGCAAUUAUUAUAGAAUAGAAACACAAAGAAAAUUAGAUAUAACUAUAGGUAUGGAAAAGGUAAGAUAAAAAAAAAAAGAAUAAAAUAAAAUGCGCAGGACAGUAUUCUUAAUAAAUAUUAAGAUGAGCAGGAAUGUACAUGAUAAGAAUGUGCAAACAGGUUGUACAGGGGAGUUACAUAGCAGCAAUAGAGGAAAAAAAGUAAAUAAAUAAUAAUUACAGAAAUUGCUGUGUGCAAGUGACAUCGGUCUUUCUUUACAUUGCUUUUACAUCACGACACAUGAAAUGACAAUUUGUAUGGAAUGUCUGCAGGACUUUUUACAACUUCAAUUGUUUUACAAUUUCAAUUUCAAUUACAAUUGUUUAGUCUAGAUGCCACUGGCAUUGUUUGUAAUUUUGCAAUGAUUGUCAUAAAUAAAACAUAAGCACCAAGCUGCAGACAAGUGCAGGGGAUUCAAUAAAUUAAUUGUAAAAAGUCUGAAAAAG